Molecule: ribosomal RNA, 542 nt
Filed under: uncultured bacterium
Lineage: Bacteria
Description: bacterial SSU rRNA
Rfam family: Bacterial small subunit ribosomal RNA
Source: RNAcentral
AGAGUUUGAUCCUGGCUCAGGACGAACGCUGGCGGCGUGCCUAAUACAUGCAAGUCGAACGGUCUUUUCUAUGGAAGCUUGCUUCCACUGAGAAGAUAGUGGCGAACGGGUGAGUAACACGUGGGUAACCUGCCCAUAAGAGGGGGAUAACAUCCGGAAACGGGUGCUAAUACCGCAUAGUUUUCUUGAUCGCAUGAUUGAGAAAGGAAAGACGGCCUUUGUGCUGUCGCUUAUGGAUGGACCCGCGGCGUAUUAGUUAGUUGGUGAGGUAACGGCCCACCAAGACGAUGAUACGUAGCCGACCUGAGAGGGUGAUCGGCCACAUUGGGACUGAGACACGGCCCAAACUCCUACGGGAGGCAGCAGUAGGGAAUCUUCCGCAAUGGACGAAAGUCUGACGGAGCAACGCCGCGUGAGUGAAGAAGGUUUUCGGAUCGUAAAACUCUGUUGUCAGAGAAGAACAAGUUGGAGAGUAACUGCUCCAGCCUUGACGGUAUCUGACCAGAAAGCCACGGCUAACUACGUGCCAGCAGCCGCGGUAA